RNAcentral lists this ribosomal RNA (433 nucleotides) under uncultured bacterium. RNAcentral describes it as "bacterial SSU rRNA". It matches the Rfam family "Bacterial small subunit ribosomal RNA", at positions 28 to 460 of the family's 1533-position model. The record is from RNAcentral.
GACAAGCGCUGGCGGCGUGCUUAAUACAUGCAAGUCGAACGGGUGCACUUCGGUGUACUAGUGGCGGACGGGUGAGUAACACGUAGAUGACCUGCCCUAAUGUGGGGAAUAACAGCCCGAAAGGGUUGCUAAUACCGCAUACGCUCUAUGUUGUGGGACAUAGAGGAAACCUCGGUUUAUACCUGGGGCAAUAGGAGGGGUCUGCGGCGGAUUAGCUAGAUGGUGGGGUAACGGCCACCAUGGCGACGAUCCGUAGCUGGUCUGAGAGGACGGCCAGCCACACUGGGACUGAGACACGGCCCAGACUCCUACGGGAGGCAGCAGUAAGGAAUAUUCCACAAUGGGCGAAAGCCUGAUGGAGCGACGCCGCGUGCGGGAAGAAGCCGUUUCGGGGGUGUAAACCGCUUUUAACGAGAGAUGACACACAGUGGGU